GAACGCUGAAGGAGGAGCUUGCUUCUCUGGAUGAGUUGCGAACGGGUGAGUAACGCGUAGGUAACCUGCCUGGUAGUGGGGGAUAACUAUUGGAAACGAUAGCUAAUACCGCAUAACAGUAGAUAUUGCAUGAUAUCUGCUUGAAAGGUGCAAUUGCAUCACUACCAGAUGGACCUGCGUUGUAUUAGCUAGUUGGUGAGGUAACGGCUCACCAAGGCGACGAUACAUAGCCGACCUGAGCCGAGCAGGGUGAUCGGCCACACUGGGACUGAGACACGGCCCAGACUCCUACGGGAGGCAGCAGUAGGGAAUCUUCGGCAAUGGACGGAAGUCUGACCGAGCAACGCCGCGCGAGUGAAGAAGGUUUUCGGAUCGUAAAGCUCUGUUGUAAGAGAAGAACGAGUGUGAGAGUGGAAAGUUCACACUGUGACGGUAUCUUACCAGAAAGGGACGGCUAACUACGUGCCAGCAGCCGCGGUAAUACGUAGGUCCCGAGCGUUGUCCGGAUUUAUUGGGCGUAAAGCGAGCGCAGGCGGUUAGAUAAGUCUGAAGUUAAAGGCUGUGGCUUAACCAUAGUACGCUUUGGAAACUGUUUAACUUGAGU
This 604-nucleotide ribosomal RNA is filed under the name uncultured bacterium. Its description in RNAcentral is "bacterial SSU rRNA". It matches the Rfam family "Bacterial small subunit ribosomal RNA", at positions 64 to 647 of the family's 1533-position model. The record is from RNAcentral.